UCGAGAGUUUGAUCCUGGCUCAGGACGAACGCUGGCGGCGUGCCUAAUACAUGCAAGUCGAACGCACUCUCGUUUAGAUUGAAGGAGCUUGCUCCUGAUUGAUAAACAUUUGAGUGAGUGGCGGACGGGUGAGUAACACGUGGGUAACCUGCCCUAAAGUGGGGGAUAACAUUUGGAAACAGAUGCUAAUACCGCAUAAAACCUAACACCGCAUGGUGUAGGGUUGAAAGAUGGUUUCGGCUAUCACUUUAGGAUGGACCCGCGGUGCAUUAGUUAGUUGGUGAGGUAAAGGCUCACCAAGACCGUGAUGCAUAGCCGACCUGAGAGGGUAAUCGGCCACACUGGGACUGAGACACGGCCCAGACUCCUACGGGAGGCAGCAGUAGGGAAUCUUCCACAAUGGACGAAAGUCUGAUGGAGCAACGCCGCGUGAGUGAAGAAGGUUUUCGGAUCGUAAAACUCUGUUGUUGGAGAAGAAUGUAUCUGAUAGUAACUGAUCAGGUAGUGACGGUAUCCAACCAGAAAGCCACGGCUAACUACGUGCCAGCAGCCGCGGUAAUACGUAGGUGGCAAGCGUUGUCCGGAUUUAUUGGGCGUAAAGCGAGCGCAGGCGGUUUCUUAAGUCUGAUGUGAAAGCCUUCGGCUCAACCGAAGAAGUGCAUCGGAAACUGGGAAACUUGAGUGCAGAAGAGGACAGUGGAACUCCAUGUGUAGCGGUGAAAUGCGUAGAUAUAUGGAAGAACACCAGUGGCGAAGGCGGCUGUCUGGUCUGUAACUGACGCUGAGGCUCGAAAGCAUGGGUAGCAAACAGGAUUAGAUACCCUGGUAGUCCAUGCCGUAAACGAUGAGUGCUAGGUGUUGGAGGGUUUCCGCCCUUCAGUGCCGCAGCUAACGCAUUAAGCACUCCGCCUGGGGAGUACGACCGCAAGGUUGAAACUCAAAGGAAUUGACGGGGGCCCGCACAAGCGGUGGAGCAUGUGGUUUAAUUCGAAGCAACGCGAAGAACCUUACCAGGUCUUGACAUCCUUUGACCACUCUAGAGAUAGAGCUUUCCCUUCGGGGACAAAGUGACAGGUGGUGCAUGGUUGUCGUCAGCUCGUGUCGUGAGAUGUUGGGUUAAGUCCCGCAACGAGCGCAACCCUUAUUACUAGUUGCCAGCAUUUAGUUGGGCACUCUAGUGAGACUGCCGGUGACAAACCGGAGGAAGGUGGGGACGACGUCAAAUCAUCAUGCCCCUUAUGACCUGGGCUACACACGUGCUACAAUGGAUGGUACAACGAGUUGCGAGACCGCGAGGUUUAGCUAAUCUCUUAAAACCAUUCUCAGUUCGGAUUGUAGGCUGCAACUCGCCUACAUGAAGCCGGAAUCGCUAGUAAUCGCGGAUCAGCAUGCCGCGGUGAAUACGUUCCCGGGCCUUGUACACACCGCCCGUCACACCAUGAGAGUUUGUAACACCCAAAGCCGGUGAGGUAACCCUUCGGGGAGCCAGCCGUCUAAGGUGGGACAGAUGAUUAGGGUGAAGUCGUAACAAGGUAGCCGUAGGAGAACCUGCGGCUGGAUCACCUCCUUUCUAAGGAAUAAUACGGAAAACCUUGUACAUUUGCGAAAUCAAAACUUUGUUUAGUUUUGAGAGGUCUACUCUCAAACUUUGUUCUUUGAAAACUGGAUAAUAAGUAAUAUAUUAGUUUUAAAAGCCGAGAAAAACAUUGCGUUUUAAAGAGUUUUUUAAUAA
Molecule: ribosomal RNA, 1732 nt
Filed under: Latilactobacillus sakei
Lineage: Bacteria; Bacillati; Bacillota; Bacilli; Lactobacillales; Lactobacillaceae
Description: Lactobacillus sakei 16S ribosomal RNA
Rfam family: Bacterial small subunit ribosomal RNA
Source: RNAcentral